Molecule: ribosomal RNA, 496 nt
Filed under: uncultured bacterium
Lineage: Bacteria
Description: partial 16S ribosomal RNA
Rfam family: Bacterial small subunit ribosomal RNA
Source: RNAcentral
GAUGAACGCUGGCGGCGUGCCUAAUACAUGCAAGUCGAGCGAACAGAUGAGGAGCUUGCCCCUCUGACGUUAGCGUCGGACGGGUGUGUAACACGUGGAUAACCCACCUAUAAGACUGGGAUAACUUCGUGAAACCGGAGCUAAAUCCGGCAUAUUUAUUGAACCGCAUGGUUCAAUAGUGAAAGACGGCUUUGCUUUCACUAUACAUGGAUCCGCGUCGCCUUAGCUAGUUGGUAAGGUAACGUCUUACCAAGGCCACGAUGCGUAGCCGACCUGAGAGGGUGAUCGGCCACACUGGGACUGAGACACGGUCCAGACUCCUACGGGAGGCAGCAGUAGGGAAUCUUGCGCAAUGGGCGAAAGCCUGACGGAGCAACGCCGCGUGUAUGAUGAAGGUCUUCGGAUUGUAAAAUUCUGUUAUUAGGGAAGAAGAGAGGUGUAAGUAACUAUGCACGUAUUGACGGUACCUACAGAGGAAGCCACGGCUAACUACGUG